AUUGAACGCUGGCGGCAGGCUUAACACAUGCAAGUCGAGCGGGGUGAUGGUGCUUGCACUAUCACUUAGCGGCGGACGGGUGAGUAAUGCUUAGGAAUCUGCCUAUUAGUGGGGGACAACAUCUCGAAAGGGAUGCUAAUACCGCAUACGUCCUACGGGAGAAAGCAGGGGAUCACUUGUGACCUUGCGCUAAUAGGUGAGCCUAAGUCGGAUUAGCUAGUUGGUGGGGUAAAGGCCUACCAAGGCGACGAUCUGUAGCGGGUCUGAGAGGAUGAUCCGCCACACCGGGACUGAGACACGGCCCAGACUCCUACGGGAGGCAGCAGUGGGGAAUAUUGGACAAUGGGGGGAACCCUGAUCCAGCCAUGCCGCGUGUGUGAAGAAGGCCUUAUGGUUGUAAAGCACUUUAAGCGAGGAGGGGGCUCUUUUGGUUAAUACCCAAGAUGAGUGGACGUUACUCGCAGAAUAAGCACCGGCUAACUCUGUGCCAGCCGCCGCAGUAA
RNAcentral lists this ribosomal RNA (503 nucleotides) under uncultured bacterium. RNAcentral's name for it is "partial 16S ribosomal RNA". It matches the Rfam family "Bacterial small subunit ribosomal RNA", at positions 30 to 523 of the family's 1533-position model. The record is from RNAcentral.